Small nucleolar RNA from Pteronotus mesoamericanus, 294 nucleotides. NCBI's taxonomy places the organism in Eukaryota, Metazoa, Chordata, Mammalia, Chiroptera, Mormoopidae. The record is from RefSeq and is a predicted model, not a curated record.
GUAAUGCAACCUAAAGACUCUCUCUUAAGGUUUAUUAAGGUUCUGGGUCUGUAAUCUCAGUGGGCAAUACAGUUAUAUGUGUUCACUGUAAGGGCAGACCAACAAGACCUUCGGCUUUUGAACUACCUGUCUUUCAUAGAGGUGAUUCUUUCUAUUUGCUGGGAAGAAAUUGUGGUAACUGGAGGGAGAGGGUAGGGACAGGACAUGUUCAUGGUAUCAGGGUCAGAGGGUCCCAAAGGACUUAGCUUGUAUUGUGGCCACUGAGAGAUGAAACACAGAUCUUUGGUAAUCUGA